Molecule: unclassified non-coding RNA, 338 nt
Filed under: Meryta sp. 'pedunculata'
Lineage: Eukaryota; Viridiplantae; Streptophyta; Magnoliopsida; Apiales; Araliaceae
Description: partial contains external transcribed spacer and 18S ribosomal RNA
Source: RNAcentral
UUCGUGCAGCGACGGCCGCUCUUUCUUUCCUUUUCAUUCUUGUUCCAGGAGCAGUACGCCUUGGACCAACUCGGUUGCCUGUGUUGUAUACCUACUUCGAUGGAAUUCGUUCGUCUAAUCGCCCCUAAUUCACCUUGUGCUGCUCACGCGGCGCGGGAUGAACCAUGAAGUGUCCUUUGUUGUCCAUUAUUGCCUCGCGUUUUAGCGUCGCAUGAAAUGGCCAACGCUGCGGCACUCGAACUCUCGGAUACAGAACCUUAAGCGGGCAAAGGGUCCUUUGGCCUUGAUUUGCCCAAACUAAGCGUUCUCGCUUCUUACGAACGACUGUCGUGCCCGUU